RNAcentral lists this ribosomal RNA (250 nucleotides) under uncultured bacterium. RNAcentral describes it as "partial 16S ribosomal RNA". It matches the Rfam family "Bacterial small subunit ribosomal RNA", at positions 524 to 773 of the family's 1533-position model. The record is from RNAcentral.
AACGUAGGAGACAAGCGUUAUCCGAAUUUACUGGGCGUAAAGCGCGUGCAGGUGGCUAGGUAAGUUGAAUGUGAAAUCUCCUGGCUCAACUGGGAGAGGCUGUUCAAGACUGCCUGGCUAGAGGGCGGUAGAGGGAGGUGGAAUUCCCGGUGUAGUGGUGAAAUGCGUAGAUAUCGGGAGGAACACCUGUGGCGAAAGCGGCCUCCUGGACCGUACCUGACGCUCAGACGCGAAAGCUAGGGGAGUGAAC